GAAAAGAAACCAACAGGGAUUGCCUUAGUAGCGGCGAGUGAAGCGGCAAAAGCUCAAAUUUGAAAUCUGGCACUUUCAGUGUCCGAGUUGUAAUUUGAAGAAGGUAUCUUUGGGUCUGGCUCUUGUCUAUGUUUCUUGGAACAGAACGUCACAGAGGGUGAGAAUCCCGUGCGAUGAGAUGUCCCAGACCUAUGUAAAGUUCCUUCGAAGAGUCGAGUUGUUUGGGAAUGCAGCUCUAAGUGGGUGGUAAAUUCCAUCUAAAGCUAAAUAUUGGCGAGAGACCGAUAGCGAACAAGUACAGUGAUGGAAAGAUGAAAAGAACUUUGAAAAGAGAGUGAAAAAGUACGUGAAAUUGUUGAAAGGGAAGGGCUUGAGAUCAGACUUGGUAUUUUGUAUGUUACUCUCUCGGGGGUGGCCUCUACAGUUUACCGGGCCAGCAUCAGUUUGAGCGGUAGGAUAAGUGCAAAGAAAUGUGGCACUGCUUCGGUAGUGUGUUAUAGUCUUUGUCGAUACUGCCAGCUUAGACUGAGGACUGCGGCUUCGGCCUAGGAUGUUGGCAUAAUGAUCUUAAGUCGCCCG
RNAcentral lists this ribosomal RNA (579 nucleotides) under Lodderomyces parapsilosis. Its description in RNAcentral is "Candida parapsilosis partial large subunit ribosomal RNA". It matches the Rfam family "Eukaryotic large subunit ribosomal RNA", at positions 56 to 651 of the family's 3401-position model. The record is from RNAcentral. Lineage: Eukaryota; Fungi; Ascomycota; Pichiomycetes; Serinales; Debaryomycetaceae.